AGUACAGAGUAGGAGAAAACAUAACUAUCAUUAGGUCGUUCUUAGGGAAUAAGGAUGGCUGUGCUUUCCUCCAAGCAUUUCUUUGUCAUUCUCCUUGUUUUCUCAGUUACGGUCGUAAUACACAAAGUGGAAGCCGAAACAUGCCGGCAUAUACUUCCAAGUCUUCCAAAUCUAAUAAACAAAGAAGGCAAUUGUGUGCUUCGUAGUUGUAUAAGGUUUUGCAGAUUUUUACAGGAAGGAGAAGGAGAAUGUUCUAAUUUUAGCCCACACACGCGUUGUAUGUGUAGCUGGGAAUGUUAAUGAUUGAUUAAUCA
Non-coding RNA from Jatropha curcas, 314 nucleotides. The record is from RefSeq and is a predicted model, not a curated record. Lineage: Eukaryota; Viridiplantae; Streptophyta; Magnoliopsida; Malpighiales; Euphorbiaceae.